This 66-nucleotide transfer RNA is filed under the name marine eukaryotic metagenome. It matches the Rfam family "tRNA", at positions 5 to 66 of the family's 71-position model. From Rfam's summary of the family: Transfer RNA (tRNA) molecules are approximately 80 nucleotides in length. Their secondary structure includes four short double-helical elements and three loops (D, anti-codon, and T loops). Further hydrogen bonds mediate the characteristic L-shaped molecular structure. tRNAs have two regions of fundamental functional importance: the anti-codon, which is responsible for specific mRNA codon recognition, and the 3' end, to which the tRNAs corresponding amino acid is attached (by aminoacyl-tRNA synthetases). tRNAs cope with the degeneracy of the genetic code in two manners: having more than one tRNA (with a specific anti-codon) for a particular amino acid; and 'wobble' base-pairing, i.e. permitting non-standard base-pairing at the 3rd anti-codon position. The record is from RNAcentral.
CGGUAGCUCAGUGGAUAGAGCGUCCGCCUCCUAAGCGGAGGGUCGCAGGUUCGAUUCCUGCCCGGG